UACAGAGGUCUCAAGCGUUGUUCGGAUUCAUUGGGCGUAAAGGGUGCGUAGGCGGCGCGGUAAGUCGGGUGUGAAAUCGUCGGGGCUUAACUCCGAAACUGCAUUCGAUACUGCCGUGCUUGAGGACUGGAGAGGAGACUGGAAUUUACGGUGUAGCGGUGAAAUGCGUAGAUAUCGUAAGGAAGACCAGUGGCGAAGGCGGGAUCGUCUCGGACAGUUCCUGACGCUGAGGCACGAAAGGUCAGGGGAGGCAAACGGG
Molecule: ribosomal RNA, 259 nt
Filed under: uncultured bacterium
Lineage: Bacteria
Description: partial 16S ribosomal RNA
Rfam family: Bacterial small subunit ribosomal RNA
Source: RNAcentral